GAUCAUGGCUCAGGAUGAACGCUGGCGGCGUGCUUAACACAUGCAAGUCGAACGGACUUUAUAUGAAGCCUAGCGAUUAUAAAGUUAGUGGCGGACGGGUGAGUAACGCGUGAAUAACCUGCCCUGUACCGGGGGACAACAGUUGGAAACGACUGCUAAUACCGCAUAAGCACACGGUUCCGCAUGGAACAGUGUGAAAAACUCCGGUGGUACAGGAUGGAUUCGCGUCUGAUUAGCCAGUUGGUGGGG
Molecule: ribosomal RNA, 249 nt
Filed under: uncultured bacterium
Lineage: Bacteria
Description: partial 16S ribosomal RNA
Rfam family: Bacterial small subunit ribosomal RNA
Source: RNAcentral